This 420-nucleotide unclassified non-coding RNA is filed under the name Hevea brasiliensis (rubber tree). Lineage: Eukaryota; Viridiplantae; Streptophyta; Magnoliopsida; Malpighiales; Euphorbiaceae. The record is from RNAcentral.
GAAAAUGAUUAGUUGAUUCGUUCUUUCGAAAUCUUAACAGCCUUCCUGGUUCUCCGCCCUGCCUUCACAGUAACUGGCUCCCCUACCUUCACUGUCACUCGCGCUCUCUCUCUCUCUCACGCACACAUUUUGAGCCCUAGCUAAAACAUUAAGUUAGGCUUUAAUCUAGCUCAACUGAAAAAUGAAGAUGUCAGAUGCAAUAUGUGUCAGGGUUUAUAGGUAUGGAUCAUCGAUACAAGAACACACUAUUUUUAUUUGGUAAUUUGGAGCAGAAUUUAUAAGUGAGAACCAUAACGCUUAUUAUAGAAACCCUAAACAAAUAGAUAUGAGAUCGGAAGAUCAUACACAGAGGAAAAUUCUUGUCUAGAAUCCUACACAGGAAAUAGAAGAUGCAUACCUAAAUUAUUAGUAAAAGCUGUG